This 72-nucleotide transfer RNA is filed under the name Ovis aries (sheep). It matches the Rfam family "tRNA". From Rfam's summary of the family: Transfer RNA (tRNA) molecules are approximately 80 nucleotides in length. Their secondary structure includes four short double-helical elements and three loops (D, anti-codon, and T loops). Further hydrogen bonds mediate the characteristic L-shaped molecular structure. tRNAs have two regions of fundamental functional importance: the anti-codon, which is responsible for specific mRNA codon recognition, and the 3' end, to which the tRNAs corresponding amino acid is attached (by aminoacyl-tRNA synthetases). tRNAs cope with the degeneracy of the genetic code in two manners: having more than one tRNA (with a specific anti-codon) for a particular amino acid; and 'wobble' base-pairing, i.e. permitting non-standard base-pairing at the 3rd anti-codon position. The record is from Rfam by way of RNAcentral. Lineage: Eukaryota; Metazoa; Chordata; Mammalia; Artiodactyla; Bovidae.
UCCUUGGUGGCUCAGAUGGUAAAGAAUCUGCCUGUAAUGCAGGAGACCUGGGUUUGAUCCCUGGAUAGGGAA